Molecule: unclassified non-coding RNA, 199 nt
Filed under: uncultured fungus
Lineage: Eukaryota; Fungi
Description: sequence contains ITS2
Rfam family: 5.8S ribosomal RNA (bases 1-52)
Source: RNAcentral
AACGCACCUUGCACCCUCUGGUAUUCCGGAGGGUAUGCCUGUCUGAGUGUUGUAAUAACUCAAACCGAGGGUAAUGCCUCGGCUUGGAUUGGGCGUUGCCUCUUGGCUCGCCUCAAAUACAAAGUCGUGAUGAAUAAGUGUCUUCACGACCCAGUCUAUAAACCACCUCAGAUCAGGUAGGACUACCCGCUGAACUUAA